Long non-coding RNA from Alligator sinensis (Chinese alligator), 275 nucleotides. RefSeq lists it as uncharacterized. The record is from RefSeq and is a predicted model, not a curated record. NCBI's taxonomy places the organism in Eukaryota, Metazoa, Chordata, Crocodylia, Alligatoridae. The transcript has 3 exons.
UGCUCUGAAUGAAGAAAUCUUGCCAAAAUAUCUGGAUCUGGUUUGGGCUGAGAAUGCAAGCAUCAGAUAAAAAUAACAAGUCACACGGUAGAGGACAGAUCGCAAUGCUUCUCCUUUGCCUCAGGCUGCACAUGCCCAGUAACUCCAUUGAAGCAACCAACUUUUUGGAUGCAAAAUCCUGGACAUAAUCCCAGACACCACCCAGACCUUCAGAACUCCAUGCUGAAAGCCUGUAACCAUUGGAAGAACAAGAUGUGGCAGGUGAAAUCACAGAC